AGAGAAGUUGUCAGUAGUUGGUUUUGAGGGGAUUGUUUUGUGUUUGUUCUUCCUAAGUGGUUGGACUGUGUACUUCCGAAGAAAGCAGACAGUUACCGUGUCAGGAGCUGGGGGAGGGAGGAUUCAGAUGAACUCCAGGUUCUAAUUCAAAGUUUCUAGUUUUAAGACUAUGUCCUCUAUUUGAAGUCCGAUUUUAAUGAUGACAAUAGUUUUAAUGCUGCUGAGUUUCGCAAACAAUGGAGGGUCAACCGUGCACUAUUUGCAGCUUGCAAUUGGUUUUGUUCUUAUUCUCAUUUUUGUAGUGAAAUGGCUAGUGUUUCAUUUUUAUGUGUAAUGAUUUUUCUGAAUUGUAGCCUCUGUAUAACCAUUGUAUCAUAGAUAAAAAGUUUCUAUAAUUGUAUUU
RNAcentral lists this unclassified non-coding RNA (403 nucleotides) under Hevea brasiliensis (rubber tree). The record is from RNAcentral. Lineage: Eukaryota; Viridiplantae; Streptophyta; Magnoliopsida; Malpighiales; Euphorbiaceae.